AUACGGAGGGUGCAAGCGUUGUUCGGAAUCACUGGGCGUAAAGGGCGCGCAGGCGGUUUGGUAAGUCAGAUGUGAAAGCCCAUGGCUCAACCAUGGAAGUGCAUUUGAAACUGUCAGACUUGAGUACUAGAGGGGAAAGUGGAACUCCCGGUGUAGAGGUGAAAUUCGUAGAUAUCGGGAGGAAUACCGGUGGCGAAGGCGACUUUCUGGCUAGAUACUGACGCUGAGGCGCGAAAGCGUGGGGAGCAAACAGGAUUAGAUACCCCGGUAGUCC
Molecule: ribosomal RNA, 274 nt
Filed under: uncultured bacterium
Lineage: Bacteria
Description: partial 16S ribosomal RNA
Rfam family: Bacterial small subunit ribosomal RNA
Source: RNAcentral